GUGAGACUGUGAAUUCUUCAAAAGCAGGUACUGUGUUUAAUGAAGUGUGCCCAGGACUUUGCUCAGUGACUGGAUGACACAGUAGGAGUAACAAGAAAGUUCACAUGGGUGAACCGUGGUAGGUGGACAUCGUCUCUCUCACCUCUUCCCAAAUCAAGGAUGAAGUACAUCUUCAUAAAUCCUCAUGUGAAUUAUUUUGCUACCUCUAGAAGCAUUUUCUAAAACAAGGUGCAGCAAUCAGUUGAGUGAAUUUGUCACCAGAGCUUAUGUUUUCUGAAAGAACCCUAUCCUCAGGCAGUUGUUCCUAAGAGCCUUUUCCUUUCCCUUGAAGAUUCCACAAAUAUGUCAGCGCUGGAAAUGAUCCUUUGGCUUUGAACUAUGUGAAGACUGCAGAAGGACUGGUUGGUAAGCACCCACAUCCUGGGGUGAGAAUCACAUCCAGUUUAUACCUCCCUGUGCACACUUGUAUAAAACAACUAUAAGACACACGAGAGAUCUGGAAGCCAGUUCCUCAUAAGUAAGAAUUGGUCAGGCUGCAUUUGUAUCCUGGGUCCACAAGACAUCGUUUCCUUAAAACCAAUCCCCCUGAUUUUGCUAAGUGUCUGCAAGCCUAAUAUUUCAUGGAUGUUUGACAAGGACCCCGUCUUUAGCUGAACUAAGGAGAAAGUCCUGCAACACACACAUGGAGCUCAGCAAACGGAGGAUGUAGACCCCACUGGAAAUCGGACUGUUCAACUCACCUGGCAGCCACUCACAGAGCCCGUGGAACUCUGGCCCAAGGCUCUCUGACUCCUUCUCGGCUUAGCGGCUAAAGACUGACACUGCCCGAUCGCCUCGGAAGCCCCGUAGACCAUCACGGACGCCGAGCUUUAGAUGAAGAAACUGAGGUCCAGAGAAGUUAAACGACCUUCCUAAGAUUACACAGCUUAGUAAGUGGCAGAACCACAGCUGGAAGCCAGGUCCUUCCUCACGCAAGUCCUGGCUCAUUCAUUCCUCUUCCAAAGACUUGCUGAGCACCUUCUAGGUGCCAGAUGCGGUGCUGGCUCCUGGGGACAUGGGAGUGAACAGGCCAGGCGUGGCCCUGAACCAUCAAAUAGACAACCACAGAAAUAACAACGAAUGAUGCUGGAGGCUGACGAAGAUAAGGGUGGAAAGUGGGCAAUAAAUCAGGAGCUGUUGCAACAUUCCCAGCAAAGGAUAAUGGUGAAUAACAAAGACAAAACCGGGCCCUUCCACACAGUAGCUGGAACACAAAGGAAGAUCAGCCAAGCCUCAACAUAAUCUCAUAAAAAUUCUUCAAAUAUCCCAUUGUUAUGGAUUCAUACAUCAGGAAAGCAGAUGCCAAGAACCUGAACACCUUCUACUGGUAACAUAUAUUUUGGCGAGCCAGCCUGGAGACAAGACCACUAUGGGCAACUUCCUGUCUAUUCUACCUGGUGUCACUGUGGACAACUUCCUAUCUAUUCCACCCGAUUCACCGCUUGGCUACAUCCUCCACCAUUGGGAUGAAUUUGACCCUAACAAUCUAAAGAAAAGGCAUAUGAUUUUUUACUGCAAUAUUGUUUGACACAAUUAUGAGCUGCCCAAUCCGGAACAAUGGGCAGUCAAUGGUAGCCUUAAUUAUGAUACCAUCCUGUAUCUAGACCUAUUUUACAAGAGGCAGGGCAAAUGGUCAGAAGUCCCACAUAUACAGGCCUACAUGACCCUAUACGAAGACCUAAGAAUCUAGGAAACUCCCAGAACCCAUCCCCCGAAGGAAAGUUCUGGGGCAGAACUAGAUAUUAUAGAUGAACCCCCUUUUACAAGGGAUACCUGUCUCUCAGAGUGAGCAGUGACUGUCCCCAUAUAACCCCUCACCAAGUGCUCCUGAGGCUGAAACCCAGGGGCAAACAUGGGGAACCCUACUAAGUCCCCCUCACACUUGGAGGGGAACACUGUAUUCAACUCUCUAUCCAGCCCUGCUACUCUCAGAGAAAUAGCAGGGGCUGAGGGGCCAAUCCUAGUGUGGGUCCCCUUCUCUAUGAUUGAUAUACAACAAUGUAAGGAAAAGCUAGGAAGCUAUUCUGAGGAUUCCGGGAAGUUUGCAGAUGGGUUCCAAACUUUGACCUUAGCCUUUGAUCUCUCAUGGAGAGACGUUCAAUUCACUCUAGCAACCUGUUGCACCUCCUCGGAAAAGGAACGAAUCUUUGAGGCUGCCCUCCGAGAAGUGGACGAAUUAUUCACCCAAAACCGUAAAGGCAGUCACCCAGGCCCAGCCACAGUUCCCACUACGCAUCCUAAUUGAGACCAAGACACCCCCGCAGGAAGGAACAACUGGGCUAAAUUUCUUGAGGCUCUUGGAGGAAUGAGAAAGGGAAUAACUAAGGCAGUAAAUUAUGAUAAAGUAAGGCAGAUUACACAAGGCAGGGAGGAAAACCCAGCUGUGUUUUACGGCAGGCUGCGGGAAGCCUUUAAAAAAUAUAUACUAAUUUGGUCCCUUCCUCUCCUGAAGGCAAGUUAUUAAUGGCACAACGUUUCAUUAGCCAAUCCACACCAGACAUUAGACGUAAGCUCCAAAAGCUACACAUGGGGCCACAAACUAACCAAAAUCAGCUUCUUGGUACUGCCUUCAUGGUGUAUAACAAUCGUGACCUGGAGGAAGGAGAAGGGAAACAGAGUAAAGAAAAACGGCAAGCCAAAAUUAUGUUAGCCAUCACUGGUGAUGCCCUAAAUGCACAAAGAUUGUCCAAGGGAAACUCAAAGGGCCAUAAGGAUAAUGCCAGCAAAGGCUCUUGCUUCAAAUGCAAUAAAAGUGCGAUUGGGCACAGGAAUCCACUAAGCCCCCGCCAGUCCCCUGCCGUCAAUGUAAAAGCACCAGUUGUGGCUCCUGGCCCUGGAGAAUUGACUGUCCCUGCUCCCACCAAGGGGCUCAGUCAGUCAAAACUCUGGCAGUGCACAAGGAGGAAUCAGAUGAAGACUGAAGGGGCCUGGGGCCUUCCUCACUGCCCCGUCUAGGAACAUUGUAAUUACUACUGAGGAACCCUGGGUAACUCUGGACAUCAUGGCCACCCAAAUUCAGUUUUUAUGUGAUACCAAGGUGAAUUAUUCUGUACAACUGCUUAUGCAGGAAAACUUUCCUCCCGGUCCAUGAGUGAUAUUGGAUGGAAGGGAAGCCACAAACAAGAUUCUUACUCCUCCUUUGGUUUGUCAAUUUGAGAAACAAAUCUUCCAACAGGAAUUUUUAGUAGUACCAAGCUGCCCAAUUCCCCUGUGGGAAAGAGAUAUUAUGGUGAAAAUAGUGACACUACUGCAAUUUAAGCAAUAUUAGCAGGUGAAACUGCUAAUAGUAAGAAAUAAGGCAAUGUCCCAGACCAUGUCAAUAAACAGGUUAACCCACUGGCAUGGUAUACUGGAAACCCAGGGAAGGCUAAAACAGCAGUGCCAGUCAAAAUACAGCUUAAAGACCCCAGCCAUUUUCCCAAUGGAAAACAAUACCCAGUUGAACAGGAAGCAAGCAAAGGUCUAGCUCCCAUAGUUGAGAUAUUACUUACCCAUGGACUCUUAAAACCCUGCAAUUCUCCCUGCAAUACCCCCAUCUUACCUGUUCUCAAGCCUGGGGGGAAUACCAGCUAGUACAGAACCUCAGAAUAAUGAAUGAGGCUGUUAUCCCCGUCCACCCAUUGGUGGCAGAUCCAUAUGCCCUCCUGGCUCAGGUGCCAGGGCAUGCAAAAUGGUUCUCAGUCCUAGACCUUUCUUCUCCAUUCCUCUGGCCCCGAGCCCCCCAGUACCUUUUUGCUUUCGAAUGGGAAAAUCCUAAUACCAGAUAAAAACAAUACACUUGGACAGUGCUUCCUCAGGGCUUUCGGGAUAGCCCCCACUUCUUUGCCUGAGCAUUAGAGCGGGAUCUGAGGGAUUUCAAGUUAGAAAAUGGAGGUAUUCUUCAGUAUGGGGAUGACCUUGUGUGUAGCCCAACCUAGGAGGUUUCUGACCAAAAUACUAUAAAAACUUUGAAUUUCCUGGCAGACAGAGGAUACAAAGUGUCCAAAAAGAAGGCUCAGAUUACCCUCCAAUGGGUCCACUAUUUAGGAUAUGUCUUAACACCCGGAACCCGGCAAAUAUCCCCAGAAGGAGUGCAAGCUAUAUGUGGUUUGGCCGCGUGCACCACCCCCAGCCCCCACCCUGACCCACCUCCAAGCAGCAGCUUUGUUCCUUUUUGGGGAUGGCCGGGCUUUGGAGAAUAUGAGUACCAAAUUUUGGGCUCAUAGCAAAGCCCCUAUAUGAAGCAACAAGGGGGCCUGAAAAUGAGCUAAUGGAAUGGACCCCGGAAAUGAGGAAAGCCUUUGCCAAGUUAAAACAGGUUCUCACCCAGGCUCCUGCUCUUGGUAUCCCAGACCUAAUUAAGGCCUUCUCCUUGUAUGUAGCAGAGAAGAGGGGCAUAGCUGUGGGAGUGCUAGCCCAGAAAUUAGGAUCAGAACCCAGACCAACCGCCUACUUCUCAAAAAAGUUGGACGGAGUGGCCUCAGGAUGGCCAAGUUGCCUGCGGGCAAUAGCAGCCACUGCUGUUAGUGGAGGAAGCCACUAAAAUCACCCUAGGGCAACCACUGGAAGUUCUAACGCUCCAUCAGGUAAAGUUAGUCUUAGAAAUAAAGGGACACAUCUGGAUGACAGGGGAAAUGUUAACUAAAUACCAGCCCAUGCUCCUAGACAAUCCAGAUAUAACUCUUAAAACCUGCAACACUUUAAAUCCAGCUUCAUUGCUGCCCACAGGCCCAAUAAUUGAUCAUUCCUGUGAGCAGGUCAUUGCACAUACAUAUGUUAGCCAGCCUGAUUUAAAAGAUGAGGCUCUCCCAGAUUCUGAAGCUGACCGGCUCACAGACGGCAGUAGUUCUUUGUCGAAUGGGGAGCACAGAGCUGGAUAUGCAGCAGUAAAUCAUGACACAAUUAUUGAAGCCCAGCCAGUGCCCCCUGGCACAUCAGCACAAAAGGCUAAAAUCAUUGAUCUUACUCAAGCAUUAAUGUUGGGACAAGGGAAAAAACUUAACAUCUAUACAGAUUCUAAAUAUGCAUUCCUUGUGGUUCAUGCUCAUACCGCCAUCAGGAAAGAAAGGGGAUUACUUACUAGCAAGCACUCCCCUAUAGAGCAUGGACCUGAAAUUCUGCAGCUAUUGAAGGCAAUACACCUGCCAAAGGCCAUAGCUAUCAUUCAUUGUAGGGGGCAUCAAAGGGACUUAACCCCUAUAGCACAAGGGAAUGGAAAGGCUGACGGAAGCCAAAGCAAAAGCCCUCAGCGUGCAAUCCCAACAGAUCCUAGCACUGCUUCCUUUCUACAAUUCCCCAGUAGAACCCAAAUACACACCACAGGAAGAACAGCUAAUAAAAAAAGCAAGGGAGACAAAAACAAGGAUCCUGGUGGCAUAUGGAGCCAAAAAUAUAUCUCCCUCAGGCAGCCCAGUGGAGAGUUAUAAAAGCCCUGCAUGACUCUUUCCAUGUGGGGAGGGAUGCGGCUCUGGCCAUGGUAAACAAGUUCUUUACUGGGUUUAACUCAGCUUCAAUGGCUAAGCAGGUCUGUCAAGCCUGCUCACUGUGUGCAUUUAACAAUCCAGGCAUCAAAAUGCCCCCUCUAAUAAAACCAGUCCAAAGGAGGGGAACUUAUCCAGGGGAAGACUGGCAGUUAGACGUCAUCCAUAUGCCAGCUUGCAGAGGAUACAAGCUUUUGUUAAUACUAAUAGAUACUUUUAGGUUGGGUCAAAGGUUACCCCAGAAAAGGCUAAUGAGGUUCUAAGGUCCUCUUAAAAGAAAUAAUUCCCCAGUUUGGGUUACCUCAGGGUCUCCAAAGUGAUAAUGGCUAAUCCUUUAUCUCCCAAAUAACUCAAGGGGUUGCUAAGGCUCUUGGAAUAAAAUACUAUUUACAUUCAGCCUGGAGGCCCCAAUCCUCUGGAAAAGUGGAAAGGGUUAACCAAACUCUAAAAUAAGCACUAGCUAAACUAUGUCAGGAAACAUCAGAAACUUGGGUUAGCUUAUUGCUCACAGCCCUUUUAAGAAUUUGUAAUACCCCUAGCUCAAAAAUUAACAGAAGCCCAUAUAAAAUGUUAUACAGAAGGCCAUUCUUAACUAAUGAUUUAAUUAUUGACCCAGAAAGAGUUGGUGUAAUUAAAUACCUAGUCAACCCAGAACAAUUCCAGCGGGUUUACAAGAGUUUGGAAUUCAAAGGCUCCUCACACUUGGAACUAACCAGCAACCCAAAAUCAGGCCAGGAGAUAGGGUACUUGUUAAAACAUGGAAUGAGGGAUCACCUGCCCAACAAUUACAACCCCAAUAGAAGGGACUUUUUUCAGUAAUACUGGCCACGUCUUCUGUGGUCAAAGUACUAGUAUUAGAUAGCUGGAUACAUCUUUCAAGGAUCAAACCAUCAAUACCAGAAGCUCCAGACCAGGAACCUGAAGUUCCCAUCAGCCAGUACACCUGUGAACCAGUGGAGGACCUGAAGUACCUGUUUAAAAGAUAGCCAAAAGAUAAGUAAAUGCCUACCAACUUUCUUUGGUGUCUUUGUUGCAUAGUUACUGUGGGCUGGAAAAUAGUAGCCAUUUUUAUCUUUGCAGUUUAAUUGCCUUCUUCCAAAUAGAUAAAAAUCACUUCCUUUGUAAUAAUUAAACAGAAUUUAAAAAAUACAUUUCUAUGACAAAUAUUCCUGAUGGCAUAAGUAUCCACCCCAAGGUUCCCAUUAAAUCUUUUAACCUAAAGUAUUUCCUCUCACCUAGAGAUCAUCGAGCUGUGUGACAAGGGUGCCAGCCACUCCAGGUGAAGACACCACCCCAGGCCAUCAAGGAUCUUCCCUACCUUCACUAAACAGAGCAGGGUGAAAGUUGUGUGAUCCCCAAUAGGUAGGGACUACACCCCAAGUCAGCAGGAAGCAGUUACAGAAGAAAGACCAUUGGUCCCUCUGCUUCCCAUAAAGAUUUAUGGGGAUCACAGCUUUCACGGGGGAGAUGAGGCAAGAGAAUAGGGCAUGCAGGCAGGGUACUUGAGGCCAAUCCACGCUGACUUCCUAGAACUGAAUUAAAUGAAAGCUCCUCAGCAAUGACAGGAAUGUGAAUGGCUUUGUAACUUCUUCCUCUCCAUUAAUGCUAUUUCCACUUUGUAACUUCACUUUCAUCCUCUCCAUUUACAUAGAUCACACACCAAGUAACAUCCUCUCCAUUUACAGUAGGGCGCAUUCCGAGUCAAUGACUCUGACUGCACUUCGUUCUCCUCAUUUACAUAGAACAUUCGCCAAGUAACCAAUGGGAAACCUCUAGAGUAUUGAAACUCCAGAAAAUUCCGUAAGUGGGGCUCUUGAGCGUCUACACUCGGGUCGCUCCCACACUGUGGCGUGUACUUUUAUUCUCAAUAAAUUCCCGCUUUUGCUUUCCUCGUUC
Molecule: long non-coding RNA, 7394 nt
Filed under: Homo sapiens (human)
Lineage: Eukaryota; Metazoa; Chordata; Mammalia; Primates; Hominidae
Description: long independently transcribed non-coding RNA 2700, transcript variant 13 (LINC02700)
Source: RNAcentral